This is a long non-coding RNA of Tetranychus urticae (two-spotted spider mite), 647 nucleotides long. RefSeq lists it as uncharacterized. NCBI's taxonomy places the organism in Eukaryota, Metazoa, Arthropoda, Arachnida, Trombidiformes, Tetranychidae. The record is from RefSeq and is a predicted model, not a curated record.
UUUACCUAUCAAAUCGAAUUGAAAAAUAAAAAUAAAGAUCAAAUUAAAGAUCAAAAAUUGAACUGCGAACAAAAUGCUCCAACGAUUUUAAAAAUACCAAUCAUUAUGCCUUUUGUGCUCGCAGAGUGCUUUCUAUGCUACAGUUGGUAGUUAUCAACAAGACUCUUUUAGUGAACGGUUUAAAUUAUUUGUUAUCUUUUUAUGAUUGUUUUAGCUAAUUCUUUCACUGGAUUUCAAAGUGUUUUUUGACUAAGUGAUUAUUUUGUCAUUAAGUUUACUUUCCGAGGACUUGAUAAUACAUUACAACGUUAUUUUUACUUCUAUUGUGAUAUCAUAUUGCAAUCUUCUUAACAAUCUUCCAAAUGACAGAUGAAAAUGGAUCUUAUCCAAAAGCUCUCCAGAUCACACUCAAAACAUGAAAUGAGAACUGAUAAUAACAUAUUUGCAAUCACAGUAUCCUUGCUCAUCAUGGCUUGUGGACUAACUCAUAUCUAUCUGGUUACAUUAUCAUGCCUUACCCCUGACUGAAACUUCACUGGCAAGAUGUGAGAUGAUUUUCAUAAACGAUAUUUAGAGGAAUUUUAUCAAAGUACAAAGGUACAACUGGCAGGAUUGGAGGUAAAUUUCACCACAAAAUACUCUAACAA